UACGUAGGUGGCAAGCGUUGUCCGGAUUUACUGGGCGUAAAGAGCGCGCAGGCGGUCGUUCAAGUCGCGUGUGAAAGCCCCCGGCUCAACUGGGGAGGGUCACGCGAUACUGAUCGACUGGAAGGCAGGAGAGGGUAGUGGAAUUCCCAGUGUAGUGGUGAAAUGCGUAGAUAUCGGGAGGAACACCAGUGGCGAAGGCGACUACCUGGCCUGUUCUUGACGCUGAGGCGCGAAAGCUAGGGGAGCAAACGGG
Molecule: ribosomal RNA, 253 nt
Filed under: uncultured bacterium
Lineage: Bacteria
Description: partial 16S ribosomal RNA
Rfam family: Bacterial small subunit ribosomal RNA
Source: RNAcentral